This is an unclassified non-coding RNA of Papio anubis (olive baboon), 117 nucleotides long. It matches the Rfam family "Metazoan signal recognition particle RNA". From Rfam's summary of the family: The signal recognition particle (SRP) is a universally conserved ribonucleoprotein. It is involved in the co-translational targeting of proteins to membranes. NCBI's taxonomy places the organism in Eukaryota, Metazoa, Chordata, Mammalia, Primates, Cercopithecidae. The record is from Ensembl.
GCCGGGCAUGGUGACUCAUGCCUGUAAUCCCAGCAUUCUGGGAGGCUGAGGUGGGUGGAUCGCUUGAGCUUAGGAAUUCCAAACCAGCCUGAGCCACAUGGCGAAACCCCAUCUCUA